GGGCCCGUAGUCUAGCUUGGUAGGAUGCGGGGUAUGAUCCCCGUGGUCCGGGGUUCAAAUCCCCGCGGGCCCA
This 73-nucleotide transfer RNA is filed under the name Fervidicoccus fontis. Its description in RNAcentral is "tRNA-His". It matches the Rfam family "tRNA". From Rfam's summary of the family: Transfer RNA (tRNA) molecules are approximately 80 nucleotides in length. Their secondary structure includes four short double-helical elements and three loops (D, anti-codon, and T loops). Further hydrogen bonds mediate the characteristic L-shaped molecular structure. tRNAs have two regions of fundamental functional importance: the anti-codon, which is responsible for specific mRNA codon recognition, and the 3' end, to which the tRNAs corresponding amino acid is attached (by aminoacyl-tRNA synthetases). tRNAs cope with the degeneracy of the genetic code in two manners: having more than one tRNA (with a specific anti-codon) for a particular amino acid; and 'wobble' base-pairing, i.e. permitting non-standard base-pairing at the 3rd anti-codon position. Lineage: Archaea; Thermoproteati; Thermoproteota; Thermoprotei; Fervidicoccales; Fervidicoccaceae. The record is from RNAcentral.